UACAGAGGUCCCAAGCGUUGUCCGGAUUCAUUGGGCGUAAAGGGUGCGUAGGCGGCGCGGUAAGUCGGGUGUGAAAUCUCGGAGCUUAACUCCGAAACUGCAUUCGAUACUGCCGUGCUUGAGGACUGGAGAGGAGACUGGAAUUUACGGUGUAGCGGUGAAAUGCGUAGAUAUCGUAAGGAAGACCAGUGGCGAAGGCGGGUCUCUGGACAGUUCCUGACGCUGAGGCACGAAGGCCAGGGGAGCAAACGGG
Molecule: ribosomal RNA, 253 nt
Filed under: uncultured bacterium
Lineage: Bacteria
Description: partial 16S ribosomal RNA
Rfam family: Bacterial small subunit ribosomal RNA
Source: RNAcentral